RNAcentral lists this ribosomal RNA (369 nucleotides) under Triticum aestivum (bread wheat). RNAcentral describes it as "partial small subunit ribosomal RNA". Lineage: Eukaryota; Viridiplantae; Streptophyta; Magnoliopsida; Poales; Poaceae. The record is from RNAcentral.
AUGGCGGCCCAGGGAAGAGGCAGUGCAGCCGUGGUCGUGGGCGUGCUGCUCGUCUGCGUGCUGCUGAGCGCCGCGGCGGUGGCGGAGGCGGCAGUGUUCAACGUCGGCGACCGCGGCGGCUGGUCCUUCAACACCAACUCCUGGCCCACCGGCAAGCGCUUCAAGGCCGGCGACGUCCUAGUGUUCAAGUACGACGCGACGGCGCACGACGUGGUGGCCGUGAGCGCGGCGGGGUACAACCGUACAAGGCCUGCGCCAAGCCGGCCAAGGGCGCCAAGGUCUACAAGUCCGGCGCCGACCGCGUCACUCUCAACCGCGGCACAAACUAUUUCAUAUGCAGCAUUCCCGGACACUGCCAGUCCGGCAUGA